Molecule: ribosomal RNA, 506 nt
Filed under: uncultured bacterium
Lineage: Bacteria
Description: partial 16S ribosomal RNA
Rfam family: Bacterial small subunit ribosomal RNA
Source: RNAcentral
AGUGGACGCUGGCGGUAGGCCUAACACACGCAAGUCGAACGGCAGCACAGAGGAGCUUGCUCCUUGGGUGGCGAGUAGCGGACGGGUGAGGAAUACAUCGGAAUCUACUCUGUCGUGGGGGAUAACGUAGGGAAACUUACGCUAAUACCGCAUACGACCUACGGGUGAAAGCAGGGGAUCUUCGGACCUUGCGCGAUUGAAUGAGCCGAUGUCGGAUUAGCUAGUUGGCGGGGUAAAGGCCCACCAAGGCGACGAUCCGUAGCUGGUCUGGGAGGAUGAUCAGCCACACUGGAACUGAGACACGGCCCAGACUCCUACGGGAGGCAGCAGUGGGGAAUAUUGGACAAUGGGCGCAAGCCUGAUCCAGCCAUACCGCGUGGGUGAAGAAGGCCUUCGGGUUGUAAAGCCCUUUUGUUGGGAAAGAAAUCCAGCUGGCUAAUACCCGGUUGGGAUGACGGUACCCAAAGAAUAAGCACCGGCUAACUUCGUGCCAGCCGCCGCGGUAA